Molecule: non-coding RNA, 142 nt
Filed under: Chromera velia
Lineage: Eukaryota; Chromeraceae
Source: RNAcentral
UUUUGCAGAUUAACGCUGGCCACACCAUGCAAUCAAAAUAAUCUCACAGUCUCGACCCGGGCUUACGGGUUUGAUGACCUGAUUGAGAGAGAAUAGCUAGUCUGACAGCAGCUGAUCGAGACAAUGCAAUGGGGGUUUGUCG